RNAcentral lists this ribosomal RNA (464 nucleotides) under uncultured bacterium. Its description in RNAcentral is "bacterial SSU rRNA". It matches the Rfam family "Bacterial small subunit ribosomal RNA", at positions 199 to 644 of the family's 1533-position model. The record is from RNAcentral.
GGAGGAAGCAGGGGAUCGCAAGACCUUGCGCUUUUGGAGCGGCCGAUGCCUGAUUAGCUUGUUGGUGAGGUAAAAGCUCACCAAGGCUCCGAUCAGUAGCUGGUCUGAGAGGACGACCAGCCACACUGGGACUGAGACACGGCCCAGACUCCUACGGGAGGCAGCAGUGGGGAAUUUUGGACAAUGGGGGCAACCCUGAUCCAGCCAUGCCGCGUGAGUGAAGAAGGCCUUCGGGUUGUAAAGCUCUUUCAGCCGGAACGAAACGGUCACGGUUAAUACCCGUGACUACUGACGGUACCGGAAGAAGAAGCACCGGCUAACUACGUGCCAGCAGCCGCGGUAAUACGUAGGGUGCGAGCGUUAAUCGGAAUUACUGGGCGUAAAGCGUGCGCAGGCGGUUUUGUAAGUCAGAUGUGAAAUCCCCGGGCUUAACCUGGGAACUGCGUUUGAAACUACAAAGCUAG